This 253-nucleotide ribosomal RNA is filed under the name uncultured bacterium. RNAcentral describes it as "partial 16S ribosomal RNA". It matches the Rfam family "Bacterial small subunit ribosomal RNA", at positions 524 to 776 of the family's 1533-position model. The record is from RNAcentral.
UACGUAGGGUGCAAGCGUUGUCCGGAAUUAUUGGGCGUAAAGAGCUCGUAGGCGGUCUGUCGCGUCUGCUGUGAAAACUCGGGGCUUAACCCCGGGCCUGCAGUGGGUACGGGCAGACUAGAGUGCGGUAGGGGAGACUGGAAUUCCUGGUGUAGCGGUGAAAUGCGCAGAUAUCAGGAGGAACACCGGUGGCGAAGGCGGGUCUCUGGGCAGUAACUGACGCUGAGGAGCGAAAGCGUGGGGAGCGAACAGG